CCAAAAACAUUAACGUUUUGGUCCUGAACUUACUGUUGUUUUUAACCAGUAUUACACAUGCAAGCAUCCACACUCCAGUGAAAAUGCCCAUAAUAAUCCCAAUAAGAUUAACGGAGCAGGUAUCAGGCACACCAAUGUUAGCCAAUGACACCUUGUUUGGCCACCCCCUCACGGGUCUACAGCAGUGAUUAAUAUUAAACACUAAGCGAAAGCUUGAUUUAGCCAUGGUUAAACUAGGGUUGGUAAAUUUCGUGCCAGCCACCGCGGUUAUACGAGAAACCCAAAACAACUAGCACCGGCGUAAAGAGAGGAUAGAGCAACAAUUCUUUAAGGGCGAACUUUUUCUACGCUGUAAAACGCCCAAGAAAAUAAGAACCACCUACCCCUUAACUACUCUUAACUCCACGAAAGCAAGGACACAAACUGGGAUUAGAUACCCCACUAUGCCUUGCCAUAAACUAAGAUAGAAAAAUACAACCUAUCCGCCAAAGAACUACAAGCAAAAUGCUUAAAACUUAAAGGACUUGGCGGCAUUCCACAUCAACCUAGAGGAGCCCGUCCUAUAAUCGACAAUACGCGUUCAACCAAACCACUUUUGGCCACUCCAGCCUAUAUACCGCCGUCGCCAGCUAACCUUGUGAAAGAAAAAAAGUUAGCAAAAUAGUCCACACUAGAACGUCAGGUCAAGGUGUAGCUAAUGAAGUGGAUGAGAUAGGCUACAUUUUUUAGAAUAAAAACUACGGAUGAUACAAUGAAAUUUUGUAACAGAAGGUGAAUUUAGCAGUAAAACAAGAAAGAAUUCUUAUUUUAACACCGCCCUGGAAUGCGCACACACCGCCCGUCACCCUCCUCGACCCAAAACUAGAUGAGGCAAG
RNAcentral lists this non-coding RNA (875 nucleotides) under Platysaurus mitchelli. Lineage: Eukaryota; Metazoa; Chordata; Lepidosauria; Squamata; Cordylidae. The record is from RNAcentral.